This 604-nucleotide ribosomal RNA is filed under the name uncultured Hypocreales. RNAcentral describes it as "SSU rRNA". It matches the Rfam family "Eukaryotic small subunit ribosomal RNA", at positions 737 to 1343 of the family's 1831-position model. Lineage: Eukaryota; Fungi; Ascomycota; Sordariomycetes; Hypocreales. The record is from RNAcentral.
GGGGAACCAGGACUUUUACUGUGAAAAAAUUAGAGUGCUCCAGGCAGGCCUAUGCUCGAAUACAUUAGCAUGGAAUAAUAGAAUAGGACGUGUGGUUCUAUUUUGUUGGUUUCUAGGACCGCCGUAAUGAUUAAUAGGGACAGUCGGGGGCAUCAGUAUUCAAUUGUCAGAGGUGAAAUUCUUGGAUUUAUUGAAGACUAACUACUGCGAAAGCAUUUGCCAAGGAUGUUUUCAUUAAUCAGGAACGAAAGUUAGGGGAUCGAAGACGAUCAGAUACCGUCGUAGUCUUAACCAUAAACUAUGCCGACUAGGGAUCGGACGGUGUUAUUUUUUGACCCGUUCGGCACCUUACGAGAAAUCAAAGUGCUUGGGCUCCAGGGGGAGUAUGGUCGCAAGGCUGAAACUUAAAGAAAUUGACGGAAGGGCACCACCAGGGGUGGAGCCUGCGGCUUAAUUUGACGCAACACGGGGAAACUCACCAGGUCCAGACACAAUGAGGAUUGACAGAUUGAGAGCUCUUUCUUGAUUUUGUGGGUGGUGGUGCAUGGCCGUUCUUAGUUGGUGGAGUGAUUUGUCUGCUUAAUUGCGAUAACGAACGAGACCU